GAUGAACGCUGGCGGCGUGCCUAAUACAUGCAAGUCGAGCGAACAGAUGAGGAGCUUGCUCCUCUGACGUUAGCGGCGGACGGGUGAGUAACACGUGGAUAACCUACCUAUAAGACUGGGAUAACUUCGGGAAACCGGAGCUAAUACCGGAUAAUAUAUUGAACCGCAUGGUUCAAUAGUGAAAGACGGUUUUGCUGUCACUUCUAGAUGGAUCCGCGCCGCAUUAGCUAGUUGGUAAGGUAACGGCUUACCAAGGCAACGAUGCGUAGCCGACCUGAGAGGGUGAUCGGCCACACUGGAGCUGAGACACGGUCCAGACUCCUACGGGAGGCAGCAGUAGGGAAUCUUCCGCAAUGGGCGAAAGCCUGACGGAGCAACGCCGCGUGAGUGAUGAAGGUCUUCGGAUCGUAAAACUCUGUUAUUAGGGAAGAACAAAUGUGUAAGUAACUAUGCACGUCUUGACGGUACCUAAUCAGAAAGCCACGGCUAACUACGUG
RNAcentral lists this ribosomal RNA (497 nucleotides) under uncultured bacterium. Its description in RNAcentral is "partial 16S ribosomal RNA". It matches the Rfam family "Bacterial small subunit ribosomal RNA", at positions 28 to 507 of the family's 1533-position model. The record is from RNAcentral.